This 73-nucleotide transfer RNA is filed under the name Canis lupus familiaris (dog). It matches the Rfam family "tRNA". From Rfam's summary of the family: Transfer RNA (tRNA) molecules are approximately 80 nucleotides in length. Their secondary structure includes four short double-helical elements and three loops (D, anti-codon, and T loops). Further hydrogen bonds mediate the characteristic L-shaped molecular structure. tRNAs have two regions of fundamental functional importance: the anti-codon, which is responsible for specific mRNA codon recognition, and the 3' end, to which the tRNAs corresponding amino acid is attached (by aminoacyl-tRNA synthetases). tRNAs cope with the degeneracy of the genetic code in two manners: having more than one tRNA (with a specific anti-codon) for a particular amino acid; and 'wobble' base-pairing, i.e. permitting non-standard base-pairing at the 3rd anti-codon position. The record is from Rfam by way of RNAcentral. Lineage: Eukaryota; Metazoa; Chordata; Mammalia; Carnivora; Canidae. RNAcentral also lists the same sequence under 1 other name.
ACCUGGCUGGCUCAGUUGGUAGAGCAUGCAACUCUUGAUCUCAGGAUUGUGAGUUUGAGCCCCAUGUUGGGUA